Molecule: ribosomal RNA, 774 nt
Filed under: Streptomyces sp.
Lineage: Bacteria; Bacillati; Actinomycetota; Actinomycetes; Kitasatosporales; Streptomycetaceae
Description: bacterial SSU rRNA
Rfam family: Bacterial small subunit ribosomal RNA
Source: RNAcentral
GAUGAAGCCGCUUCGGUGGUGGAUUAGUGGCGAACGGGUGAGUAACACGUGGGCAAUCUGCCCUUCACUCUGGGACAAGCCCUGGAAACGGGGUCUAAUACCGGAUAAUACUCCUGCCUGCAUGGGUGGGGGUUGAAAGCUCCGGCGGUGAAGGAUGAGCCCGCGGCCUAUCAGCUUGUUGGUGGGGUAAUGGCCUACCAAGGCGACGACGGGUAGCCGGCCUGAGAGGGCGACCGGCCACACUGGGACUGAGACACGGCCCAGACUCCUACGGGAGGCAGCAGUGGGGAAUAUUGCACAAUGGGCGAAAGCCUGAUGCAGCGACGCCGCGUGAGGGAUGACGGCCUUCGGGUUGUAAACCUCUUUCAGCAGGGAAGAAGCGCAAGUGACGGUACCUGCAGAAGAAGCGCCGGCUAACUACGUGCCAGCAGCCGCGGUAAUACGUAGGGCGCAAGCGUUGUCCGGAAUUAUUGGGCGUAAAGAGCUCGUAGGCGGCUUGUCACGUCGGAUGUGAAAGCCCGGGGCUUAACCCCGGGUCUGCAUUCGAUACGGGCUAGCUAGAGUGUGGUAGGGGAGAUCGGAAUUCCUGGUGUAGCGGUGAAAUGCGCAGAUAUCAGGAGGAACACCGGUGGCGAAGGCGGAUCUCUGGGCCAUUACUGACGCUGAGGAGCGAAAGCGUGGGGAGCGAACAGGAUUAGAUACCCUGGUAGUCCACGCCGUAAACGUUGGGAACUAGGUGUUGGCGACAUUCCACGUCGUCGGUGCCGCAGCUAA